Molecule: ribosomal RNA, 253 nt
Filed under: uncultured bacterium
Lineage: Bacteria
Description: partial 16S ribosomal RNA
Rfam family: Bacterial small subunit ribosomal RNA
Source: RNAcentral
UCCGUAGGGGGCAAGCGUUGUCCGGAAUCAUUGGGCGUAAAGCGCGUGUAGGCGGCCAGAUAGGUCCGUUGUGAAAACUGGAGGCUUAACCUCCAGCGGUCGAUGGAAACCAUUUGGCUAGAGUCCGGAAGAGGAGAGUGGAAUUCCUGGUGUAGCGGUGAAAUGCGCAGAUAUCAGGAAGAACACCCGUGGCGAAGGCGGCUCUCUGGGACGGUACUGACGCUGAGACGCGAAAGCGUGGGGAGCGAACAGG